Molecule: signal recognition particle RNA, 97 nt
Filed under: Phycisphaera sp.
Lineage: Bacteria; Pseudomonadati; Planctomycetota; Phycisphaerae; Phycisphaerales; Phycisphaeraceae
Also listed under: 2 other names
Description: signal recognition particle sRNA small type
Rfam family: Bacterial small signal recognition particle RNA
About the family: The signal recognition particle (SRP) is a universally conserved ribonucleoprotein involved in the co-translational targeting of proteins to membranes.
Source: RNAcentral
GGUCGGGCCCGGUGCACGGGGGGCCCGUGAACCUGGUCAGGGCUUGACCGCAGCAGCCAUAAGCGGCGUCAACCGGGGCAGCGGUGUCCUGGCCGCC